AUGCACGCUGGCGGCGUGCCUAAUACAUGCAAGUCGCGCGAACGGACGAGAAGCUUGCUUCUCUGAUGUUAGCGGCGGACGGGUGAGUAACACGUGGAUAACCUACCUAUAAGACUGGGAUAACUUCGGGAAACCGUAGCUAAUACCGGAUAAUAUUUUGAACCGCAUGGUUCAAAAGUGAAAGACGGUCUUGCUGUCAUUUAUAGAUGGAUCCGCGCUGCAUUAGCUAGUUGGUAAGGUAACGGCUUACCAAGGCAACGAUGCAUAGCCGACCUGAGAGGGUGAUCGGCCACACUGGAACUGAGACGCGGUCAAGACUCCUAAGGGAGGCAGCAGUAGGGAAUCUUCCGCAAUGGGCGAAAGCCUGACGGAGCAACGCCGCGUGAGUGGUGAAGGUCUUCGGAUCGUAAAACUCUGUUAUUAGGGAAGAACAGAUGUGUAAGUAACUGUGCACAUCUUGACGGUACCUAAUCAGAAAGCCACGGCUAACUACGUG
Molecule: ribosomal RNA, 496 nt
Filed under: uncultured bacterium
Lineage: Bacteria
Description: partial 16S ribosomal RNA
Rfam family: Bacterial small subunit ribosomal RNA
Source: RNAcentral